AGUGAACGCUGGCGGUAGGCCUAACACAUGCAAGUCGAACGGCAGCACAGUAAGAGCUUGCUCUUACGGGUGGCGAGUGGCGGACGGGUGAGGAAUACAUCGGAAUCUACUUUUUCGUGGGGGAUAACGUAGGGAAACUUACGCUAAUACCGCAUACGACCUACGGGUGAAAGCAGGGGAUCUUCGGACCUUGCGCGAUUGAAUGAGCCGAUGUCGGAUUAGCUAGUUGGCGGGGUAAAGGCCCACCAAGGCGACGAUCCGUAGCUGGUCUGAGAGGAUGAUCAGCCACAUUGGAACUGAGACACGGUCAAGACUCCUACGGGAGGCAGCAGUGGGGAAUAUUGGACAAUGGGCGCAAGCCUGAUCCAGCCAUACCGCGUGGGUGAAGAAGGCCUUCGGGUUGUAAAGCCCUUUUGUUGUGAAAGAAAAGCAGCAGGUUAAUACCCCGCUGUUCUGACGGUACCCAAAGAAUAAGCACCGGCUAACUUCGUG
RNAcentral lists this ribosomal RNA (492 nucleotides) under uncultured bacterium. RNAcentral describes it as "partial 16S ribosomal RNA". It matches the Rfam family "Bacterial small subunit ribosomal RNA", at positions 29 to 507 of the family's 1533-position model. The record is from RNAcentral.